UCUCGGUGAGUGUGUCCUUUGGUCGUUUCUGCUAUUUGGGUUUUCUUGGUUUUCCUUUUUGUUUUCUCGUGAGAUUUUUUUUUUUAAAGGCCACAUGAACUGGCGUUCCACUAUGCGUGUGUGUGUUUGGUCCUGGAGCUGGUACUCUGGACCUGGGCCCAGUGCCUUUCGCCUGAAGGCUGGCACCUUCCCACGGGAAUCACAGCCCCACGCCGGCCACUUGGUCGUGAGUUGGAGGCCAGUGUCCCCGGACUUUCAUGCCUAAGCUGACUUUGCACAGCGAUUUCAGACCCCGCCCUCCUGAGAGCUAGUAUUCCAGGCGCCCCUCUAAGCCUCGUGUAGGACCUGCUCGGUAUCCGGGGCGAGGUAGGGGCUGGGAGAGCGAGUGUGUGCAGAGUCAAAGCCUGGAAGCCCCUGCGGGGUUCGGAGGAGUAGGAAAGCAGCGUUGCGGGACCAUACUUGUGGGCCUCCCUGUGAUGAAGACUUUUCACAGACCUGUACUGAGCUCCGUGAGGAAAACUGAGCUCUGAGGAGACGGCCCUGUAUGCACGGUCCGUGCCCCACACACAGCAUUUUGAAGUUGCAUUUUUUAAAUGGUGCUAAUUUAUAAUCUCUUGCAGGAUUGGGACAUCUGAACGCACAGGAAAACGGGCAGUUUUCAGAGUGUGGUCCAGCACAAAGGAACUUGCUAGGACGAUGAGACAAGAACCAUCAUACAGUUCAUUCGUAGCAGUAAUGGUUUUGCAUGUGGUUACCAAUCCUGAGCUGUUCCUGUAUCUUUCAGGAUGAAUGCAGGUAAUUUCUCCAAGAAUAGCCCUGGGUUACCUCUACAGAGUUCUUGGGACGGGAACAGUUGAAGCAAAAUUUCCUUUUUGCUUCUUCCAUUCAUCCUCUUCAAUGAGUGCCUGGGGAAAUCACAACCCCGAACUGUGUGUGGUUCAGUUCUUUGUCCACAUAACUGUCAGAUGAUUUGAAUCAACAGGCUGAUGCUCGGUGAGGCACAACAGUUAAUAGCAUGUUAGAGUUCUGAUGGCAGUACUUAACAGGUGAAGACAUUUUGCUUAUUCUCAUUCUCAAACUUGGAAACAAACUAUUUCUCUUUUCCCAGGUCAGCUUGGUGUGAUACAUUUCUCCGUCUUAAGAUGGCACCUACUAUCUAUCCAGAGUCAAAUGUCAGGACUUUCAAGUGGAGCUUCAUCUUCCUGCAUAUGAUAGAGGAGCCCAAAUGCCUCCAGUAAAAGAAGGGUUAGUUUUACUUCCUUUCACUUGUCAAGUAGUUAAUGCAGUUUCUAUGAUGAAUCGAACUAGCUCACUAUGACUAUUAAUGAAAACACAUGAACACCUGAGAAAUGAAAGAUGGGGCAGGAGGGUGGCCAUGUGCAAGAAGAUUUCUAUGCAAGACUUUGUCUUUUUUUCCAGGUUGCUAGCCAGUGGCGACCCUUUCUUUGCUGAUGUAAAGGUGAGUAGUGUCAGCAUGUGCUCUUGGCCUCACUAGGCAAAGAAAGACCUUUUUAGGUCUGCAUGAUGACUUCCUUAAUGGAAUCUCGUUCGGCUGAUGAAUUGCUGUUGAGACUGGAAAUCUGAUUUUCUAGGGAGGAUCAUAAAUGGGCACUUUUAGUAUGCUGUUUAUUUACUGACAACUUUUUUAUUUUUAUUUCAGAACUGGUUGUCUGUGGAUCCCGGGAAGGAUGAGGUAAAUGCUUUCAUAAUACUUAGAGCUGCCAUGCCUGUGGUUGUGGUCUAGGGUCAUAUUGAACAAAUGGUAACAGGUUCCUGCUUGCAGUGAUGAAUUGAUUACCGCCCCAGUCUGAUCACUGUGACUGAAAGGUAUAUUCUGAGUUGUGAGCUCACCAUUGUGAUUGGGGGUAUGAUAUCAAUGCUGAGGCAGUGGAUUCUAUAAAAUACUUGUUAAACUAACCUAAGGGAAUUGGACUUUUCUCAACCACAGAACUCAGACUUGAUUCCCGAUGGCUGCCUUUGCAGGGGAAUUCAACCAUGUACCUGCUCAACUCCAGGCUGAGAUUAGAGGUCUGAAGGAUGACACCCAUUUAUUGUCUCCAGGAAUCUGCAAGCUUUGGGAGACUGUUAAUGGAAAAUUUCAGACCCUUCCACAAUCCAAUUUCGGCUUUGUUUUUUAUUUUCCUAAUAAAGCUUUUCUUAUCGUGA
Long non-coding RNA from Perognathus longimembris pacificus (Pacific pocket mouse), 2166 nucleotides. RefSeq lists it as uncharacterized. The transcript is spliced from 6 exons. The record is from RefSeq and is a predicted model, not a curated record. NCBI's taxonomy places the organism in Eukaryota, Metazoa, Chordata, Mammalia, Rodentia, Heteromyidae.